AUACGUAGGGGGCGAGCGUUGUCCGGAAUGAUUGGGCGUAAAGGGCGCGUAGGCGGCCCGGUAAGUCUGGAGUGAAAGUCCUGUUUUUAAGAUGGGAAUUGCUUUGGAUACUGUCGGGCUUGAGUGCAGGAGAGGUAAGUGGAAUUCCCAGUGUAGCGGUGAAAUGCGUAGAGAUUGGGAGGAACACCAGUGGCGAAGGCGACUUACUGGACUGUAACUGACGCUGAGGCGCGAAAGUGUGGGGAGCAAACAGGAUUAGAUACCCCGGUAGUCCUGGCAGUAAACGAUGUAUGCUGGGUGUGAGACUAGCGAUAGUUUCGUGCCGAAGUUAACGCGAUAAGCAUACCGCCUGGGGAGUACGGUCGCAAGAUUGAAACUCAAAUGAAUUGACGGGG
This 395-nucleotide ribosomal RNA is filed under the name uncultured bacterium. Its description in RNAcentral is "partial 16S ribosomal RNA". It matches the Rfam family "Bacterial small subunit ribosomal RNA", at positions 523 to 918 of the family's 1533-position model. The record is from RNAcentral.